Molecule: long non-coding RNA, 264 nt
Filed under: Crocodylus porosus (Australian saltwater crocodile)
Lineage: Eukaryota; Metazoa; Chordata; Crocodylia; Crocodylidae
Description: lncRNA (ENSCPRG00005000464.1)
Source: RNAcentral
UGGCAUUCUCACCAGGUACUUUCCCUCAUUCUUUUAUUCCAUGUCCACUGCUUUUGAAUUCCUUUGUGCCAUGGAGGAAAGGUCAAGACUGCUUUUUGGCUGUGAACUAACCGCCAAGACUUGAUUUAUUUCCUGAAAUUGCAUGUGAUGAAAGAAGAGGAAAAUUCCUAUCAGAAAUCUCUAGGCCACCCUGGACUAUGUGGACCUAGGCAGAACACUGGAAAGGAAACUCCCAAGAUUUCUGACAGAAGCAGAUAAGCUAAG